RNAcentral lists this ribosomal RNA (497 nucleotides) under uncultured bacterium. Its description in RNAcentral is "partial 16S ribosomal RNA". It matches the Rfam family "Bacterial small subunit ribosomal RNA", at positions 28 to 507 of the family's 1533-position model. The record is from RNAcentral.
GACGAACGCUGGCGGCGUGCCUAAUACAUGCAAGUUGAGCGCUGAAGGUUGGUACUUGUACCAACUGGAUGAGCAGCGAACGGGUGAGUAACGCGUGGGGAAUCUGCCUUUGAGCGGGGGACAACAUUUGGAAACGAAUGCUAAUACCGCAUAAAAACUUUAAACACAAGUUUUAAGUUUGAAAGAUGCAAUUGCAUCACUCAAAGAUGAUCCCGCGUUGUAUUAGCUAGUUGGUGAGGUAAAGGCUCACCAAGGCGAUGAUACAUAGCCGACCUGAGAGGGUGAUCGGCCACAUUGGGACUGAGACACGGCCCAAACUCCUACGGGAGGCAGCAGUAGGGAAUCUUCGGCAAUGGACGAAAGUCUGACCGAGCAACGCCGCGUGAGUGAAGAAGGGUUUAGGAUCGUAAAACUCUGUUGGUAGAGAAGAACGUUGGUGAGAGUGGAAAGCUCAUCAAGUGACGGUAAAUACCCAGAAAGGGACGGCUAACUACGUG